CUGCUUUUACCCCUGGCAAGUGUUAUUGAAGCGAAAUUGCUUAAGCAUUGUUUCUUUGUGAAGUGUUAUUAUCUGCUUGUAUAUAUAUUGACAAUAAUCUGAUGUUAUUUCUCUUCGGUGAGUAGGCAGACCCUACACAGGUCCUAAAUGUUCCUGUUAUUCCAAUUGGAACAUUGCUUGCUGCUGCCCAUCCUUUUGCAGCUAACCCUCCCUACCUCCUGUCUUGGUUGAGUCCUCAAAUUUCUGCUCUGGACAUGUUGCAACCAAAGUUGUUUGAAAAGCUUGUUACGGAAAACUUCGGCCGUAGAUCUAGUGUAUCCUUGUAUAAUAGAAUUUCUCAAUCAUCAUGACGCAGCUUGAAGUUGUUGAGACUUCUUCUUCAUUCAAGCUUCGUUCUAUAUUUUUUUCCCCAUGAAGGAAGGAGCCGACUUAAGAAGAAUCUUCAAGCCAGUCUUGCCCUUAAAAUUCAACAUCAACUAGUACAUAUACAUACAUAAAAAGAGGUAAAGGAUCAAUACCAUGCAUGUAGUUGUAUUGUUGUAUUAAAGUUUGUUAAUAUCUACAGACAUUUAGAAAAAGUAGUGUAUGUUUAUAUGGUAUACAUAUAUCACUACUCUCUCUCUUAGACAACAAUACUUCAUCAUUUGUAAAUGGUUAACCAUUAGAAAUUUUGACUCUCACAAAACAUUUGAUGAUCUUAA
Gossypium raimondii (Peruvian cotton) is the source of this 701-nucleotide long non-coding RNA. RefSeq lists it as uncharacterized. Lineage: Eukaryota; Viridiplantae; Streptophyta; Magnoliopsida; Malvales; Malvaceae. The transcript is spliced from 2 exons. The record is from RefSeq and is a predicted model, not a curated record.